AAUAGAUACCCAGGUAGUCCACGCCGUAAACGAUGUCGACUUGGAGGUUGUUCCCUUGAGGAGUGGCUUCCGGAGCUAACGCGUUAAGUCGACCGCCUGGGGAGUACGGCCGCAAGGUUAAAACUCAAAUGAAUUGACGGGGGCCCGCACAAGCGGUGGAGCAUGUGGUUUAAUUCGAUGCAACGCGAAGAACCUUACCUACUCUUGACAUCCACGGAACUUUUCAGAGAUGAAUUGGUGCCUUCGGGAACCGUGAGACAGGUGCUGCAUGGCUGUCGUCAGCUCGUGUUGUGAAAUGUUGGGUUAAGUCCCGCAACGAGCGCAACCCUUAUCCUUUGUUGCCAGCGGUUAGGCCGGGAACUCAAAGGAGACUGCCAGUGAUAAACUGGAGGAAGGUGGGGAUGACGUCAAGUCAUCAUGGCCCUUACGAGUAGGGCUACACACGUGCUACAAUGGCGCAUACAAAGAGAAGCGACCUCGCGAGAGCAAGCGGACCUCAUAAAGUGCGUCGUAGUCCGGAUUGGAGUCUGCAACUCGA
RNAcentral lists this ribosomal RNA (538 nucleotides) under uncultured bacterium. Its description in RNAcentral is "bacterial SSU rRNA". It matches the Rfam family "Bacterial small subunit ribosomal RNA", at positions 777 to 1315 of the family's 1533-position model. The record is from RNAcentral.